CAAGUCGAACGAACCUUCGGGUUAGUGGCGGACGGGUGAGUAACGCGUGAGAAUCUGCCCUCAGGAGGGGGAUAACGGCUGGAAACGGCCGCUAAUACCCCAUAUGCCGAGAGGUGAAAUGAAUUUCGCCUGAGGAUGAGCUCGCGUCUGAUUAGCUAGUUGGUGGGGUAAGAGCCUACCAAGGCAUCGAUCAGUAGCUGGUCUGAGAGGAUGAUCAGCCACACUGGGACUGAGACACAGCCCAGACUCCUACGGGAGGCAGCAGUGGGGAAUUUUCCGCAAUGGGCGCAAGCCUGACGGAGCAACGCCGCGUGAGGGAUGAAGGCCUCUGGGCUGUAAACCUCUUUUAUCAAGGAAGAAGAUCUGACGGUACUUGAUGAAUAAGCCACGGCUAAUUCCGUGCCAGCAGCCGCGGUAAUACGGGAGUGGCAAGCGUUAUCCGGAAUUAUUGGGCGUAAAGCGUCCGCAGGCGGUCUUGUAAGUCUGUCGUUAAAGCGUGGAGCUUAACUCCAUUUGAGCGAUGGAAACUGUAAGACUAGAGUGUGGUAGGGGUAGAGGGAAUUCCCGGUGUAGCGGUGAAAUGCGUAGAUAUCGGGAAGAACACCAGUGGCGAAGGCGCUCUGCUGGGCCAUAACUGACGCUCAUGGACGAAAGCCAGGGGAGCGAAAGGGAUUAGAUACCCCUGUAGUCCUGGCCGUAAACGAUGAACACUAGGUGUCGGGGGAAUCGACCCCCUCGGUGUCGUAGCCAACGCGUUAAGUGUUCCGCCUGGGGAGUACGCACGCAAGUGUGAAACUCAAAGGAAUUGACGG
This 812-nucleotide ribosomal RNA is filed under the name uncultured bacterium. Its description in RNAcentral is "bacterial SSU rRNA". It matches the Rfam family "Bacterial small subunit ribosomal RNA", at positions 58 to 916 of the family's 1533-position model. The record is from RNAcentral.